RNAcentral lists this ribosomal RNA (376 nucleotides) under uncultured bacterium. RNAcentral's name for it is "bacterial SSU rRNA". It matches the Rfam family "Bacterial small subunit ribosomal RNA", at positions 362 to 757 of the family's 1533-position model. The record is from RNAcentral.
UAUUGGACAAUGGGCGAAAGCCUGAUCCAGCAAUGCCGCGUGUGUGAAGAAGGUCUUCGGAUUGUAAAGCACUUUUGGCAGGGACGAUGAUGACGGUACCUGCAGAAUAAGCCCCGGCUAACUUCGUGCCAGCAGCCGCGGUAAUACGAAGGGGGCUAGCGUUGCUCGGAAUGACUGGGCGUAAAGGGCGCGUAGGCGGCAUGUACAGUCAGAAGUGAAAUUCCUGGGCUCAACCUGGGGACUGCUUUUGAUACGUGCAGGCUAGAGUGAGGAAGAGGGUUGUGGAAUUUCCAGUGUAGAGGUGAAAUUCGUAGAUAUUGGAAAGAACACCGGUGGCGAAGGCGGCAACCUGGUCCUUACUGACGCUGAGCGCAAA